AGUGAACGCUGGCGGCAGGCCUAAUACAUGCAAGUCGAACGGCCGCACAGUAAGCGCUCGCUCUUACUGUUGGCGACUGACGGGCGAGUGAGGAAUACAUAGGAAUCUUCUUUUACUUGGGGGACAACGUGGGGCAACUUCUGCUAAUACCUCAUACGUUCUACGGCUUAAAGCAAGAGUUCAUCAGGCUCUUGCUGUCUGUUUUAGCUGAUGCCGCAUUAGCUAGUUGGCUGGGUAAGGGCCCACCAAGGCAACGAUCCGUAGCUGGUCUGAGAGGAUGAUCAGCCACACUGGAACUGAGACACGGUCCAGACUCCUACGGGAGGCAGCAGUAGGGAAUAUUGGACAAUGGGCGCAAGCCUGAUCCAGCCAUACCGCGUGGGUGAAGAAGGCCUUCGGGUUGUAAAGCCCUUUUGUUGGGAAAGAAAAGCAGCAGAUUAAUACCCCGCUGUUCUGACGGUACCCAAAGAGUAAGCACCGGCUAACUUCGUG
Molecule: ribosomal RNA, 492 nt
Filed under: uncultured bacterium
Lineage: Bacteria
Description: partial 16S ribosomal RNA
Rfam family: Bacterial small subunit ribosomal RNA
Source: RNAcentral